GCUGUGUGACCUCAGAUCUGACUGCUCUGGAAAGAAACAGCUGUGAGUAGCAUUUUGGAAUUCCUUUCUGCUGUGGCAUGAGAGUUGCAUUUUACCUCAGUCUUUUCACCUUAGCUCUUGCCUGACACAAGCUGCAGGCUUGCUUGUGCGUGCUCUAGCACCUUGCCUUGCCUGCUUCACUUCAGACUGGCCUUAUAGUCUGAUUGGUCAGACAAUCAGGCUGUUGGCUGGCCAUGGUCACUGUCACAAAAUCUGCACUGCCCUUCUUAUUCAGGUUUUUAUGACACACCCUGUGGAUCUACAUUUCACAGAAUCAGAGAAUUUCUUUCAUCUUCUUUUCAAGAGAAAAGCAUGUGGACCCUCAACCUUUUAAUAAGUCCCUAGAUAUCUUGGGAUAAGUUUACUCCCUUGGAACUCUGUAGCUGAAAUGUGGUAAGAAUAUCUCCGAGCAUAUUUUAUUGUGAUCACAUGAACAGAGAUGAAGACUUGAAGAAAUAAUACGUGCAUGCACAUUUCAUGGACAUUUCAUAUAAAAAUAUGGACAUGCCACUAUCUGAAUAACAUCUCUUUUAAAUGAAGGUCUGAAUCUCUCAAUGGAAUAUUGAUGUUACUAUUAUACAUGGAAGCUUUUCUUCUAAUUAUUGCCUUCCUCUUCUUUUGAUGUGCAAUAAGAUUAAUGUCUGUAGGCAAAUUUGCUGUGGAACAUGUAGGCAGUCAAACUGAAAACUAAUCAUGCAUGUCUCUUAUAUUCUCUUGUAAUAAAUGGUGUAUUUUUUACA
This 779-nucleotide long non-coding RNA is filed under the name Anas platyrhynchos platyrhynchos (common mallard). Its description in RNAcentral is "lncRNA (ENSAPLG00000019167.1)". The record is from RNAcentral. Lineage: Eukaryota; Metazoa; Chordata; Aves; Anseriformes; Anatidae.